AACGAACGCUGGCGGCAUGCCUAACACAUGCAAGUCGAACGGGAUCCGAGCUUCGGUUCGGUGAGAGUGGCGGACGGGUGAGUAACGCGUGGGAACCUGCCCAGUGGUGGGGGAUAACUGCGGGAAACUGCAGCUAAUACCGCAUGAGCCCGAGAGGGGAAAGAUUUAUCGCCAUUGGAGGGGCCCGCGUUCGAUUAGGUAGUUGGUGAGGUAACGGCUCACCAAGCCUUCGAUCGAUAGCUGGUCUGAGAGGAUGAUCAGCCACACUGGGACUGAGAUACGGCCCAGACUCCUACGGGAGGCAGCAGUGGGGAAUAUUGGACAAUGGGGGGCAACCCUGAUCCAGCAAUGCCGCGUGAGUGAUGAAGGCUUAGGGUGUAAAGCUCUUUACCAGGGUACGAU
This 402-nucleotide ribosomal RNA is filed under the name uncultured bacterium. Its description in RNAcentral is "bacterial SSU rRNA". It matches the Rfam family "Bacterial small subunit ribosomal RNA", at positions 29 to 449 of the family's 1533-position model. The record is from RNAcentral.